AGUGGCGGACGGGUGAGUAACACGUGAGCAAUCUGCCUUUCAGAGGGGGAUACCGAUUGGAAACGAUCGUUAAUACCGCAUAACAUAAUUGAACCGCAUGAUUUGAUUAUCAAAGAUUUAUCGCUGAAAGAUGAGCUCGCGUCUGAUUAGCUAGUUGGUAAGGUAACGGCUUACCAAGGCGACGAUCAGUAGCCGGACUGAGAGGUUGAUCGGCCACAUUGGGACUGAGACACGGCCCAGACUCCUACGGGAGGCAGCAGUGGGGAAUAUUGCACAAUGGAGGAAACUCUGAUGCAGCGAUGCCGCGUGAGGGAAGAAGGUUUUAGGAUUGUAAACCUCUGUCUUCAGGGACGAAAAAUGACGGUACCUGAGGAGGAAGCUCCGGCUAACUACGUGCCAGCAGCCGCGGUAAUACGUAGGGAGCGAGCGUUGUCCGGAAUUACUGGGUGUAAAGGGAGCGCAGGCGGGAGAACAAGUUGGAAGUGAAAUCCAUGGGCUCAACCCAUGAACUGCUUUCAAAACUGUUUUUCUUGAGUAGUGCAGAGGUAGGCGGAAUUCCCGGUGUAGCGGUGGAAUGCGUAGAUAUCGGGAGGAACACCAGUGGCGAAGGC
This 611-nucleotide ribosomal RNA is filed under the name uncultured Lachnospiraceae bacterium. RNAcentral describes it as "bacterial SSU rRNA". It matches the Rfam family "Bacterial small subunit ribosomal RNA", at positions 94 to 722 of the family's 1533-position model. The record is from RNAcentral. Lineage: Bacteria; Bacillati; Bacillota; Clostridia; Lachnospirales; Lachnospiraceae.